GUCAGAGACGGUGCUUAAAAGACAGGAAUUCCAUACCUUGAAUUCACUUUCCCAUGAAAGGCUGCAGAAGUUACUACAGGAAACAAAAAGCAAUUUACCUUUAUGCCAACCAACCCUCUGUCUUCCAUAACCCCCUCCCUCUCUCUUACUCGUCUGCCACCUGAAGAAUCUUAACAUGGAGAGAGAACUUUCUUUAACGCUGUGAUGCUCAAAGUGUGGUACGCGGGCAAGCUGCUUCGCCCUACCCUGGGAGCACGUUAGAAACACAGAUUCUUGAGUGCCACCCAGGCCUACUGAAUCCAAGAUCCCCAUGGAUUGAUGUGCACCCUGGACAUCGGGAGUAACCCUUCAACCGGCGUCCCUGCAGAAGGAUCAUGACACAAUGAAGAGAAGACUUUAGCACUUCAAGUCCUUGUCCAACUUUUGAGAGUGCACAAGCCACGCUUCAGCAGGUGGAUGCAGAGUUCUAGAUUUUACAGCAACUCUAGACUCUUGCACUGGUGUAAGACUUAGUACCCACACACUUCGAUUUAAGGAAUAAUUGGUUCAAAGACCUGAGAAGUUGCCUUAAGCCAUGUGGUGAGGAAGAAAAUGAAUCAAAAUCAAAACCCAACUUCUCUGCCUGCAAGCCCUCCUUUGAAAAUGAUGCAAUCCAGUCUUAUUACUGAUAAAGUGCUAUUAUUAAUACUCUGUUCCUGGCUCAACUCUCAGCUCUGUGGCCCAUUGUCCAGCACUCAGCCAGUACCCUGGCAGGCACUGGGACCAUUUGAUGCAGAGGAAUGCUGAGCAGCAUGCGGCCAGGCAGCCUCAGCUGGCCAGGUGACGCCUAGCCAGAUGGUCACCCCCUCCCCCCGGAGCCACUAUUGAAAAUCUGAAAGAGACAAAAUGCCUGUGGAAUCCUCCAAGAGGGACCAGAUGCUGCUUGGGGAAAACCUGUCCACAUUGACUCAUCAGGGGACGUGUGGAGCAGGAGAAACUUGAAUGAUGAAUAAAACAAGAAACAGAGAAGAGCCCUGACUCAAUUAGAAUGAAAUCAAUGCCUAGCACCUCGUGUUUUCCCAUUUGUGGCUAUCAAAUGACCUCUAUCAAAAAAUACGUAUUAAAAGCAGACCCAGAAAUAAAUUCCCCACACCUACCUUUCAGAAUUGCACAAAUUUGUAUAGAGAAAAAGAAGCAGGGGAAGUCUUCCUGCUUGUUGCAGCACCUGGUGUGUGUUUUUCCUUUCCACUGCUAGUUUUUCUGUUGGCAAAUAAGUCGUGUGCGCUAUUGGAGCGUAUCCCCCAGGCCUUAAGAUGCGGCACUGGGUCUUGUGGGAUGGAGGCCUAUCAAAUCGGGCUGGAGCAUGGUUUUGUCUGAUGUGACCCUGGGAGCCCGAAGGGAUCUGUGAACAGACAGCAGCCUGCGGGAGUGCCUCCGCCUCCUUUUGUCCCUCCAGCUCCCCAGUGCAGCAGCUGAUCUGGUUAUUAUGCUCCUCAAAAGAAUUUCUAGGUGGCCACAGCCACCGUAAGGAACCUAGAAACCCACGAGGGCUGAAAGCCGGGAAGAACAACACAUUGGCCCCUUGAGUGUUAAUCUCACCCGUAAUUAGAGCUUUGUGGUGCUCAUAGAAAGCCAAACUAAGGCAGAGAGGAGCCGGCUGAGGUCUGUAGCCCACCAUUUUACCAAAUGUGCUGUCAUUAGCACAAGUGUCCUACUUGGUGGGACUGAUAUUUUAGAAAGAAAGGCAGAGUAGAUUUAGAGCAAAAUCCAACUGCAUUUAAGAUUGAAUUUAAAUUAUCUUAGUUUUCUGUUUUUCUUCCCUACCCCAUUUUUAGAGAUAUAUGCAUUUUAAUAGAAAUUUAUUCUGCUUGGGUCUGAUUUGUUUACCUUAGCCUUAUCAAAAUGUUUUGUAAGAGUGAUUUCACGUCAACAAAAUUUGCAUAACUUUCUCUUGGGCUAUUCUCACACUAAUGACUGAUGUUUGGGCCUGGAAUUAACAAGUGUGCCUCUGCUGAGACUUGCCAUGGCAUCAGCUGGGGCAAUUGCUCUCUAUUCUGCACUCCCCAACCAUAUCCCCCUCCCAGCCAUCUCAGGACAUCCAGGCAAUAAAGAUGACUGACCUCUCUGCCCAUCCUCUGAAUCUAACUUGCAAGGGUUCCAAACCUCCAACUCUGGCUUACCACCUUCUAUUUUAAUUUGUUACAUGGCUACCUGUUGGCAGAGGGGAGAAAAAAUGAAUACUUGGUCACAAAAUGGGUAAUCAUGCUUAAUUAUUGGUGAAAAUAAUUAAUUUAAUGUUGAAAAAAAGAUGGUAACCUUAACUUACUUUUGGAAGUGGUAUGAAUCCAUUUAAUCUAUUUAAAUGCAUGUGUUGCAAUUAAAUUGUGAGGGAGAGGAAUAUAAUAUAUGGAUUGAUAUAACACUUCAGACUUCGUUUUUCAAAUAUAUUAUCUUGUUUGACUAUCCUAAAAAUAUUAUAAGAUAGAUAAUAAAGUUGUGUUUUCUUAAUUCCCUUUUAUCUGUAAGGAGACUGAGGGCCAGAUUUUUACAGCCACACAAAAUUCCCGGGAUCCUAUCCUGGAUUUUUACUAUCUUACUUGUGCUUAUUUACCAGGUGGGAGUGCAGGGUUUUCAUUUAGAGACCUGCUUGUCCAGGUCCAGAAAGGUUUGCUCCUGUCUGAAUAGGCAGCUAACCAGAGGGUGGGGCAAUUCUGAAUGCUAAUUGCCUUGGUGAAACUCCUGCUUCCAUGGAAUAAGGGUAAAUAAAAACAUGGAGUGAAAUGCCAUCAGUGAUCCAGCAGGAUCUUCCUAAGGACAGAAUUGUUGAAAAUUCCUUUCUGGGCUGGGAGAAACAAGGAAAACAUGUAAAUUAUGGCCUCCUUAAAACACCAUAGCAUUGGGGGCAGCACUGUGGCUCAGCGCGUUAAUGCCCUGGCCUGAAGAGCUAGCAUCCCAUGUGGGAGCCGGUUCUAGUCCCAGCUGCUCCUCUUCCGAUCCAGCUCUCUGCUGUGGCCUGGGAUAGCAGGAGAAAAUGGUCCAAGUCCUUGGGCCCCUGCACCUGCAUGGGAGGCCUGGAAGAAGCUCCUGGUUCCUGGCUUCGGAUCGGCACAGCUCUGGCCGUUGCAGCCAUCUGGAGGGUGAACCAGCGGAUGGAAGACC
Oryctolagus cuniculus (rabbit) is the source of this 3138-nucleotide non-coding RNA. The record is from RefSeq and is a predicted model, not a curated record. NCBI's taxonomy places the organism in Eukaryota, Metazoa, Chordata, Mammalia, Lagomorpha, Leporidae.